This is a long non-coding RNA of Branchiostoma belcheri (Belcher's lancelet), 754 nucleotides long. RefSeq lists it as uncharacterized. NCBI's taxonomy places the organism in Eukaryota, Metazoa, Chordata, Leptocardii, Amphioxiformes, Branchiostomatidae. The transcript is spliced from 3 exons. The record is from RefSeq and is a predicted model, not a curated record.
CGGUCGGUCAUAUAAGGCCAUAUAAGAAUGUAAUCAAUUAAGGGAUCCAAACUUCAGUCAAAUGCUCCUUGGCGACUGCGAAAAGAUGAGAGCGAAUUUUGAAGACUUACUUUAAGAAGAAGAGAGAAAAACCCGUGGCUCUUGGCAGAAUGGGGAGAAGAAAUCUACGCUUGAUAAAGGGAUUUCCCCAGCCUCUCCGUCACAAGACAACUGGAGCCAGGACCGUCCCUUGAUUUGUUAUUGCUGCGGUAUAUGCAUGAAGGACGCCAUCUUCUUCAGAGACCAUCGGCUCUCCCUGAAUAUGGAUGGCCGGGCACGAUACCGACUUCUGGUGAACUUUGACCCACCAUUGGUGCCCGUCAGUUCUACUGAAGAAAGCGACGCUUCGGUUGAACUUAGCUGUUGUUUUGUGGAGGAUGUACAAGUACAUGCAGGCAUGUGGUAGCGGGCAUGAUGGCGUUCAAGGCAUCCAAAGCGUACCAGAUGCGUACUAUGUCAACACUACCCAGGCACUUUUGCCGUCAAGUUCACAAAGAUACCAAAGCCCAAAGCGAUACUAUAAGAAAUCUUCUCAGACCAGACCAUUCCAACCUUUACACGCCCAUUUCCAGCCGCGCCGAUGCAGGAUCCAACCCUGGGGUGUGGACUGUUGGAAAUGGCACGGAGAAGUUUUGUCGCAGUGUCACUUUGGGCUUUGGUAGAAGCAGUUCGCAGCGAUGCUCAACCAGAUGUCUAGACGUCCGUCUGUUGUCUU